ACCUCCUCCAACAACAAAAUCGUUACUAAUAUUCACUAUUACAUGAAAAAUUCUGCUGUUUCUCGCAAUCUCUGAUUCCCCUGCUCAUGCUGAUUCUGGUAAAACCUCAUCACCUUUCCUCAAAACCCUAAAACACCCAAAUUAUCUUUUCCGUUGUAGGUUGUCGACCAAUUUAUAAGGUCACCCAUGGCUUCGAGGGACCAAGCGCUUUCUCUUCUCGCUGCAGCGAACACUCAUAGCGAUUUGGCGGUGAAGCUCUCCUCCUUGAAGCAGGCCAAAGACAUUCUAUUGUCAGUCGAACCGUCUUUAGCUGCCGAGCUUUUCCCUUACUUGGCUGAACUUCAAUUUUCGCCCGAGAAUCUAGUUCGAAAAAUGCUUGUCAAGAUAAUUGAAGAAAUUGGUUUAAAAGCAAUGGAGCACUGUUCUGUACUUAUACCUGUCUUAUUGGC
Molecule: unclassified non-coding RNA, 449 nt
Filed under: Hevea brasiliensis (rubber tree)
Lineage: Eukaryota; Viridiplantae; Streptophyta; Magnoliopsida; Malpighiales; Euphorbiaceae
Source: RNAcentral